This 132-nucleotide small nucleolar RNA is filed under the name Sphenodon punctatus (tuatara). The record is from RNAcentral. Lineage: Eukaryota; Metazoa; Chordata; Lepidosauria; Sphenodontia; Sphenodontidae.
GUUGAGGUCUAUCCCGAUGGGACCUUUCCUGUAGGUUCGUGUCGUUGGAAAUGCCUCAGAGAGCAAACUUGUAGUCUCGCUUUACCCACUGAACUACUUGUUAGCUCUGUGGGCUAGCACUGCAGAACAGUU